AGAGUUUGAUCCUGGCUCAGAUUGAACGCUGGCGGCAGGCCUAACACAUGCAAGUCGGGCGGUAACAGGGAGAAGCUUGCUUCUCUGCUGACGAGCGGCGGACGGGUGAGUAAUGUAUGGGGAUCUGCCUGAUGGAGGGGGAUAACUACUGGAAACGGUAGCUAAUACCGCAUAAUGUCUCCGGACCAAAGCGGGGGACCUUCGGGCCUCGCACCAUCAGAUGAACCCAUAUGGGAUUAGCUAGUAGGUGAGGUAACGGCUCACCUAGGCGACGAUCCCUAGCUGGUCUGAGAGGAUGAUCAGCCACACUGGGACUGAGACACGGCCCAGACUCCUACGGGAGGCAGCA
This 349-nucleotide ribosomal RNA is filed under the name uncultured Morganella sp. RNAcentral's name for it is "bacterial SSU rRNA". It matches the Rfam family "Bacterial small subunit ribosomal RNA", at positions 8 to 353 of the family's 1533-position model. The record is from RNAcentral. Lineage: Bacteria; Pseudomonadati; Pseudomonadota; Gammaproteobacteria; Enterobacterales; Morganellaceae.